This 253-nucleotide ribosomal RNA is filed under the name uncultured bacterium. Its description in RNAcentral is "partial 16S ribosomal RNA". It matches the Rfam family "Bacterial small subunit ribosomal RNA", at positions 524 to 776 of the family's 1533-position model. The record is from RNAcentral.
UACGUAGGGUGCGAGCGUUGUCCGGAAUUAUUGGGCGUAAAGAGCUUGUAGGUGGUUUGUCGCGUCUGCUGUGAAAAUCCGAGGCUCAACCUCGGACUUGCAGUGGGUACGGGCAGACUAGAGUGUGGUAGGGGAGACUGGAAUUCCUGGUGUAGCGGUGGAAUGCGCAGAUAUCAGGAGGAACACCGGUGGCGAAGGCGGAUCUCUGGGCCUGUCCUGACGCUGAGGCGCGAAGGCCAGGGGAGCAAACGGG